AUAAUUUAUAAUACACGCCGGGCCACAGGUUACGCUAGAGAAACGCUUGUAUACGAGGGGAAUAAAAAUCUAUCGCCACCACUAUACUGAGUUAUUAAUUAUUAUAAUAAUACACCCCGGAUUGUACAAAUGAACCAUUGGUCCAAAAUUUGGAUGAUUACCCUCCGCCACCGCUUCCCUGAGGAUCAAGGUACCCUUUCGAUAUCCUAUAAUACACCCCAGUCCAUGGGUUGUGCAAGUGAACUGCUGGUUGAAAAGGAUCACGGGUUGUGCAAGUGAGCUUGUGCUUGGAAAUCCACAUCACUCACAAUCUCAGAAAUCAUAUGAGAGAGCAAAUGGAGACAUUCUUUUGGUGGCAACAAGACUAGUAAGUUGGCUUAGGGACAGUGGUUUGUUCAGUAUGCCAAGUUCAAAUUAUCGACCGUGGAAAAACGGAUCCCCACUACGUCUUGGCUGUUGUGAUCCAUGUAGCAGAGAACAUAUAUAAUAGAUUACGGACAAAAAAUUAUGUAUUAAAACAGUUCAAUGUCUGAGCCAUGCAAAGAGUAAUUCCUUAGUGUUGAUGGAAGUUCCAGAGAUAAGGAAGUUACAUUCCGACUAAUCAAAUCAAUUUUGUCGGAUGGAAAUGGAUAAGGCCUUAAGUGGUGCAAUUGCACAUACUCCAAACAAAUAAGUUCAUCUGCAAAAAAAAGGACACCUUUGUAAAUGUAAAUGCCAUAAUAGAACCACAUGCAGAAAAAUUAGAUUAUUUGGUGAAUGUGUUUAUGUUUAGGAUAUAUUUGGGUAACAUUAGUUAUGUUGGCGAUUUUUUUUAAAUUAUUACAUUUUAUGUUGAAAAGUAUAUUUAAACAAGUUUUUUGUUUAUGUCUAUUUUGAACAAACUAAUAAUAUUUAUCUGAAAUAUAUAACUGGUUAGUUCGAAUAUUAUGAAA
RNAcentral lists this long non-coding RNA (932 nucleotides) under Lepeophtheirus salmonis (salmon louse). Its description in RNAcentral is "uncharacterized LOC121131422". Lineage: Eukaryota; Metazoa; Arthropoda; Copepoda; Siphonostomatoida; Caligidae. The record is from RNAcentral.